Molecule: non-coding RNA, 30 nt
Filed under: Rattus norvegicus (Norway rat)
Lineage: Eukaryota; Metazoa; Chordata; Mammalia; Rodentia; Muridae
Source: RNAcentral
UAGAUGAUAGGUACAUAGAUAGAUAAAUCU